UACAGAGGUCUCAAGCGUUGUUCGGAUUCAUUGGGCGUAACGGGUGUGUAGGUGGCGCCGUCAGUGGGGUGUGAAAUUUCGAGGCUUAACCUCGAAACUGCAUUCCAUACUGCGGUGCUUGAGGACUGGAGAGGAGACUGGAAUUUACGGUGUAGCAGUGAAAUGCGUAGAUAUCGUAAGGAAGACCAGUGGCGAAGGCGGGUCUCUGGACAGUGCCUGACACUGAGACACGAAAGCCAGGGGAGCAAACGGG
This 253-nucleotide ribosomal RNA is filed under the name uncultured bacterium. RNAcentral's name for it is "partial 16S ribosomal RNA". It matches the Rfam family "Bacterial small subunit ribosomal RNA", at positions 524 to 776 of the family's 1533-position model. The record is from RNAcentral.